This 232-nucleotide unclassified non-coding RNA is filed under the name uncultured fungus. Its description in RNAcentral is "sequence contains ITS1, 5.8S rRNA gene". The stretch from base 184 to 232 matches the Rfam family "5.8S ribosomal RNA", at positions 1 to 49 of the family's 154-position model. Lineage: Eukaryota; Fungi. The record is from RNAcentral.
UCUCCGUUGGUGAACCUGCGGAGGGAUCAUUACUGAGUGAGGGGCUCCGGCCCCAGACCUCCAACCCAUUGUUAUCCGACACUGUUGCCUCGGGGGCGACCCGGCCUUCGGGCGUCGGGGCCCCCGGUGGACCAUUUCAACUCCGCGUCUUAUGCGUCGGUUUAAAUUGAUGAAUAUUAUCAAAACUUUCAACAACGGAUCUCUUGGUUCUGGCAUCGAUGAAGAACGCAGC